RNAcentral lists this ribosomal RNA (301 nucleotides) under uncultured bacterium. RNAcentral describes it as "partial 16S ribosomal RNA". It matches the Rfam family "Bacterial small subunit ribosomal RNA", at positions 509 to 808 of the family's 1533-position model. The record is from RNAcentral.
CAGUCGCCGCGGUAAUACGUAGGUCCCGAGCGUUGUCCGGAUUUAUUGGGCGUAAAGCGAGCGCAGGCGGUUAGAUAAGUCUGAUGUGAAAGCCCCCGGCUUAACCGGGGAGGGUCAUUGGAAACUGGGAGACUUAGAGUGCAGAAGAGGAGAGUGGAAUUCCAUGUGUAGCGGUGAAAUGCGUAGAUAUAUGGAGGAACACCGGUGGCGAAAGCGGCUCUCUGGCUUGUAACUGACGCUGAGGCUCGAAAGCGUGGGGAGCAAACAGGAUUAGAUACCCGUGUAGUCCCUGUCUCUUAUA